UACGAAGGGGGCUAGCGUUGUUCGGAAUUACUGGGCGUAAAGCGCACGUAGGCGGACUAUUAAGUCAGGGGUGAAAUCCCGGGGCUCAACCCCGGAACUACCUUUGAUACUGGUAGUCUCGAGUCCGGAAGAGGUGAGUGGAAUUCCGAGUGUAGAGGUGAAAUUCGUAGAUAUUCGGAGGAACACCAGUGGCGAAGGCGGCUCACUGGUCCGGUACUGACGCUGAGGUGCGAAAGCGUGGGGAGCGAACAGG
Molecule: ribosomal RNA, 253 nt
Filed under: uncultured bacterium
Lineage: Bacteria
Description: partial 16S ribosomal RNA
Rfam family: Bacterial small subunit ribosomal RNA
Source: RNAcentral